GACGAACGCUGGCGGCGUGCCUAACACAUGCAAGUCGUACGAAUGGUGAAGGGCUUGCUCUUCACCGUUAGUGGCGAACGGGUGCGUAACACGUGAGCAACCUGCCUUCCGGUCGGGGGAUAGCCGGCCUAACGGCCCGGGUAAUACCGCGUACGACUCCGGGCUCGCAUGGGUCUGGAGUGAAAGCGGGCGCAAGCUCGCGCCGGAAGAGGGGCUCGCGGCCUAUCAGCUUGUUGGUGAGGUAACGGCUCACCAAGGCGACGACGGGUAGCUGGUCUGAGAGGAUGAUCAGCCACAUUGGGACUGAGAUACGGCCCAGACUCCUACGGGAGGCAGCAGUGGGGAAUAUUGCGCAAUGGCCGCAAGGCUGACGCAGCGACGCCGUGUGUGGGAUGAAGGCCUUCGGGUUGUAAACCACUGUCAGGGGGGACGAAUACCCGGCCUCGAAUAGGGGACCGGGGGCGACGGUACCCCCAGAGGAAGCACCGGCUAACUCCGUG
RNAcentral lists this ribosomal RNA (500 nucleotides) under uncultured bacterium. RNAcentral's name for it is "bacterial SSU rRNA". It matches the Rfam family "Bacterial small subunit ribosomal RNA", at positions 28 to 507 of the family's 1533-position model. The record is from RNAcentral.